RNAcentral lists this ribosomal RNA (482 nucleotides) under uncultured bacterium. RNAcentral's name for it is "bacterial SSU rRNA". It matches the Rfam family "Bacterial small subunit ribosomal RNA", at positions 29 to 506 of the family's 1533-position model. The record is from RNAcentral.
UUGAACGCUGGCGGCAUGCUUUACACAUGCAAGUCGAACGGCAGCGGGGGCUUCGGCCUGCCGGCGAGUGGCGAACGGGUGAGUAAUGCAUCGGAACGUACCCAGUUGUGGGGGAUAGCCCGGCGAAAGCCGGAUUAAUACCGCAUACGACCUGAGGGUGAAAGGGGGGGAUCGCAAGACCUCUCGCAGUUGGAGCGGCCGAUGGCGGAUUAGCUAGUUGGUGGGGUAAAGGCCUACCAAGGCGACGAUCCGUAGCUGGUCUGAGAGGACGACCAGCCACACUGGAACUGAGACACGGUCCAGACUCCUACGGGAGGCAGCAGUGGGGAAUUUUGGACAAUGGGGGCAACCCUGAUCCAGCCAUUCCGCGUGAGUGAAGAAGGCCUUCGGGUUGUAAAGCUCUUUCGGCAGGAACGAAACGGUGGAGGCUAAUACCUUUCAUCAAUGACGGUACCUGAAGAAGAAGCACCGGCUAACUACGU